GACCAGUUUGGACAACAUGUAAAAUCAGAAGUGCACUUGAACUUUUAUGUUUAUUAUGGUCCUGAUCGUAUUAGAGAUUCAGCCUGGCUUUCAAAACAGGAUAUUAUUUUGACUACUUACAAUAUUUUAACUCAUGAUUAAGGAACUAAAGAUGAUAGUCCAUUGCAUAGCAUCAAGUGGUUCAGGGUGAUCCUGGAUGAAGACCAUGCUAUUUGAAAUUCAAACGCUCAGCAGACAAAAGCUGUACUUGAGUUAGAGGCAGAAAGAAGAUGGGUAUUGACAGGUACUCCGAUCCAGAAUUCUUUAAAGGACUUGUGGUCUCUUCUGUCGUUCUUAAAACUUAAGCCAUUUAUUGAUAGAGAGUGGUGGUAUAGGAUCAUACAGCAUCCUGUCACUACAGGAGAUGAGGGCGGACUUAGGCGUUUACAGUCCUUAAUAAAAAAUAUCACGCUUAGAAGAACAAAGACAAGCAAAAUUAAAGGGAAACCUGUUUUGGAGUUGCCAGAAAGGAAAGUAUUUAUUCCGCACAUUACUCUGUCAGAAGAAGAGAGAAAGAUUUAUCAGUCUGUUAAAAAUGAAGGUAAAGCUGCUAUUGGAGGGUAUUUUACUGAAGGGACUGUCCUUGCACACUAUGCAGAUGUCUUGGGUCUUCUGCUUAGAUUGCGGCAGAUUUGUUGCCAUACCUAUCUUCUUACAAACGGAAUGUCUUCAAGUGGCCCCUCCAGAAGUGACAUGCCUGAAGAGCUGAGAAAGAUGUUAAUAGAGAAGAUGAAGAUAAUUCUGAGCUCUGGUUCAGAUGAGGAAUGUGCAAUCUGCCUGGAUUCCUUAACAUUUCCUGUGAUAACCCAUUGUGCACACAUGCUCUGUAAACCUUGUAUCUGUCAGGUCAUCCAGAGUGAGCAGCUACCUGCAGAGUGUCCUUUGUGCAGAAAUGAGAUAUAUGGAGAUAAUCUAUUAAAAUGUCCUCCAGAAGAAUUGGCAUGUGACAGUGACAAAGAGUCCAGUAUGGAAUGGACAUCCAGCUCAAAGAUUAAUGCUCUAAUGCAUGCUUUGAUUGAAUUAUGGACAAAGGAACCCAACAUAAAAAGUUUAGUUGUUUCUCAGUUUACCACAUACUUGUCUUUAAUAGAAACGCCUCUUAAAGCCUCAGGAUUUGUAUUUACUCCUUUAGAUGGUUCCAUGGCUCAAAAGAAAAGAGUUGAAUCAAUUCAGCGUUUUCAAAACACAGAAGCAGGAUCUACCAUUAUAAUGCUACUGUCCUUAAAAGCAGGUGGAGUUUGCUUGAAUCUCUGUGCAGCUUCGUGAAUGUUCUUAAUGGAUCCGGCCUGGAAUCCUGCUGCAGAAGAUCAGUGCUUUGACCGGUGCCAUCGACUUCUCCAGAAGCAAGAGAUGAUCAUCACAAAAUUAAUUGUGAAGGACUCUGUGGAAGAAAAUAUGUUGAAAAUACAGAACACGAAGUGAGACCUUGCAGCUGGAGCCUUUGGCACCAAGAAAACAGACGCCAAUGAAAUGAAACAAGUGAAAAUCAACGAAAUCAGAACUUUAAUAGACUUAUAA
This 1557-nucleotide long non-coding RNA is filed under the name Mus musculus (house mouse). Its description in RNAcentral is "long non-coding RNA chrX:122100926-122102483". Lineage: Eukaryota; Metazoa; Chordata; Mammalia; Rodentia; Muridae. The record is from RNAcentral.